UUGUAACGCCAGUUGCAUUGCCGAGUAGCUAAGUUCGGAAUGGAUAACCGCUGAAAGCAUCUAAGCGGGAAGCCAACUUCAAGAUAAAUUUCCCAUGAGAUACGUUGCAGACUACAACGUUGAUAGGUCACAGGUGUAAGCACAGCAAUGUGUUCAGCCGAGUGAUACUAAUAUAUCGAUUGCCUUAAAUUAU
This 193-nucleotide ribosomal RNA is filed under the name Bacteroidota bacterium. RNAcentral's name for it is "Bacteroidetes bacterium partial 23S ribosomal RNA". It matches the Rfam family "Bacterial large subunit ribosomal RNA", at positions 2721 to 2925 of the family's 2925-position model. The record is from RNAcentral. Lineage: Bacteria; Pseudomonadati; Bacteroidota.